Molecule: ribosomal RNA, 520 nt
Filed under: uncultured Glomus
Lineage: Eukaryota; Fungi; Glomeromycota; Glomeromycetes; Glomerales; Glomeraceae
Description: SSU rRNA
Rfam family: Eukaryotic small subunit ribosomal RNA
Source: RNAcentral
AGCAGCCGCGGUAAUUCCAGCUCCAAUAGCGUAUAUUAAAGUUGUUGCAGUUAAAAAGCUCGUAGUUGAAUUUCGGGGUUAGUAGGUUGGUCAUGCCUCUGGUAUGUACUGGUCUCACUGAUUCCUCCUUCCUGAUGAACCUUAAUGCCAUUUAUUUGGUGUUUUGGGGAAUUUGGACUGUUACUUUGAAAAAAUUAGAGUGUUUAAAGCAAGCUAACGCUUGAAUACAUUAGCAUGGAAUAAUGAAAUAGGACGUUUGAUCCUAUUUUGUUGGUUUCUAGGAUUGACGUAAUGAUUAAUAGGGAUAGUUGGGGGCAUUAGUAUCCAAUUGUCAGAGGUGAAAUUCUUGGAUUUAUUGAAGACUAACUACUGCGAAAGCAUUUGCCAAGGAUGUUUUCAUUAAUCAAGAACGAAGUUAGGGGAUCGAAGACGAUCAGAUACCGUCGUAGUCUUAACCAUAAACUAUGCCGACUAGGGAUCGGAUGAUGUUAAUUUUUAAUGACUCAUUCGGNGCCUUACG